RNAcentral lists this non-coding RNA (31 nucleotides) under Homo sapiens (human). Lineage: Eukaryota; Metazoa; Chordata; Mammalia; Primates; Hominidae. The record is from RNAcentral.
UCAACUCCUGGCCUGGAGAGGCAGCUUCAGC